RNAcentral lists this unclassified non-coding RNA (340 nucleotides) under fungal sp. RNAcentral describes it as "partial internal transcribed spacer region". The stretch from base 1 to 46 matches the Rfam family "Eukaryotic small subunit ribosomal RNA", at positions 1786 to 1831 of the family's 1831-position model. Lineage: Eukaryota; Fungi. The record is from RNAcentral.
AAGUCGUAACAAGGUUUCCGUAGGUGAACCUGCGGAAGGAUCAUUAUCACGUUAUCCACGUUAACCAACCGUGAACUGUUCUGCUCCCUACGCGAAGACUUCUCCAUAUGCAUGUAUUUGUGUGUGGAGAGUUGAAACGGGGUUUGAGCAACCCCAUUUGUUGGGAAACCUUCAAAUGGGUGGUUUUUUUUAAUUAAAACCAUUUUAUCAUUAACCAAUUGAACCUUUCAUUUUUAACUAUGUACUAAAUAUAUGAUUUCUUACCUCUCUCUUCGGGAGGAAGAACAUCGUUGUUUACGAAACAUAAGAACAACUCUUAGCAACGGAUAUCUUGGUUCUC